Molecule: ribosomal RNA, 2359 nt
Filed under: Heteroteuthis hawaiiensis
Lineage: Eukaryota; Metazoa; Mollusca; Cephalopoda; Sepiida; Sepiolidae
Description: bacterial SSU rRNA
Rfam family: Eukaryotic small subunit ribosomal RNA
Source: RNAcentral
UCAUAUGCUUGUCUCAAAGCUUAAGCCAUGCAAGUGUAAGUUCACGCCACGCAUUAGAACGGGCGAAACCGCGAAUGGCUCAGGAACCGGACCUAAUCCUCGGGACCGUAAUCCUCUUCGGAGGCGAUGGAUAACUGUGGCAAUUCUAGAGCUAAUACAUGUGAUACAGGCCGCGAUCGGUCGGCGCGUUGUCGUCGCCUCGCCUUCUUGCGCGCUGGCACCCGCGUCGGCCGUUACGGGUCGCGGCGCUACAUAUUAGACUGAGACCGAUGCGCGUACAUCCGUCCUCCUGUCGUGUCGUCGUGGCUGGCACUCGCUGUCGACCGCGGUGGCUGGCAGGGCUCAUAGGGCGGCGCGCUCCGCUUUGGUGACUCUGGAUAACUCACUGGUCGAUCGCACGGGCUCCCAUGCUCGGCGACGGGUCUCUCGAGGGUCCGCCCUAUCAACUGUCGACGGUCGGUUAAGUGCCUACCGUGGUUACUACGGGUAACGGGGAAUCGGGGUUCGAUUCCGGAGAGGGAGCAUGCGAAACGGCUACCACAUCCAAGGAAGGCAGCAGGCGCGCAAAUUACCCACUCCCGGCACGGGGAGGUAGUGACGAAAAAUAACGACGCGGGACUCUGUCGAGGCCCCGCGAUCGGAAUGAGUACACUUCAAAUCCGUUAACGAGGACCAACCGGAGGGCAAGUCUGGUGCCAGCAGCCGCGGUAAUUCCAGCUCCGGUAGCGUAUAUUAAAGUUGUUGCGGUUAAAAAGCUCGUAGUCCGAACUCGGGUUCGUGGUCGCGCAAGCGGCCCCGGGGCGGCGGCGCCAUCGUCCGUCGUUGACUUUGGUCGUCCGUUCGCAUUCCCGGCCCUUUCCGCCGGUGUCAACCGCUAGCAUAUCCGCCUUGUGGUCCUGCCGGCGAGGUGGACGAGGUGGUCGAGUCGGGAUCCGGGAGCGGUUCCGGGCGGGGGUCGUACCACGGGGUCGUAAGUGGUAGUUGCGUCGGCGUCGCUUCUUUACUCGAGGGGGCGAGAAUCGCGUGCGUUUACGCGUGCGUCGUUUUCUCCGUCUCCCCGCCGCGAGUAGUUCGUCGGUCGUUUCUGCCGCCCUUCCUCGCUUCGUCCCCCCUCUCCCUCCCCCUGGCCCACACCGAGUCCUUGCUUCGUGUCUGCGCGCGCUUGUUGCGGUCGGCGGUUUCUCCUCCAAGGGUGCUCUUAACCGAGUGUCCGCGGCGGCCGGUACGUUCACUUUGAAAAAAUUAGAGUGCUCAGAGCGGGCUGUUCAAGCUUGCAUACGAUAAGCAUGGAAUGAUGGAAGAGGGCCUCGUCUACGUCUGUCGGUCUCCGUCUACGGCGAGGCAAUGAUCGAAGGGAGCGGUCGGGGCCACUCGUAUUGCGACGUUAGAGGUGAAAUUCUUGGAUCGUCGCAAGACGAACUGCAGCGAUGGCGUGUGGCAAGCACGUUUUCCUCGAUCAAGAGCGAAAGUCGGAGGUUCGAAGACGAUCAGAUACCGUCGUAGUUCCGACCGUAAACGAUGCCGACCGGCGAUCCGCCGGCGUUCGCUUCCAUGACCCGGCGGGUAGCCUGCGGGAAACCAGAGUUCGGUUCCGGGGGGAGUAUGGUUGCAAAGCUGAAACUUAAAGGAAUUGACGGAAGGGCACCACCAGGAGUGGAGCCUGCGGCUUAAUUUGACUCAACACGGGAAAACUCACCCGGUCCGGACACCGGUAGGAUUGACAGAUCGAUAGCUCUUUCUCGAUUCGGUGGGUGGUGGUGCAUGGCCGUUCUUAGUUGGUGGAGCGAUCCGUCUGGUUGAUUCCGAUAACGAACGAGACUCCGGCCUGCUAACUAGUGCGCCGAUGUGUGUGAUUUUUACGGCGGGCUCGUCGGCGUCCAUCGUGGCGCCCGGGUCCGGGUCGGUUUUCUCACGCACUUCUUAGAGGGACGGGUGGCAGAAAGCCACACGAGGCGGAGCAAUAACAGGUCUGUGAUGCCCUUAGAUGUCCGGGGCCGCACGCGCGCUACACUGGAGGUAUCAGCGGGGACUUCGCCCCGGCCCGAGAGGGUUGGGAAACCUCUUAACCACCUCCCGUGAUAGGGAUCGGGGCCUGUAACCAACCCCGUGAACGAGGAAUUCCCGGUAGGCGCGGGUCAACAGCCCGCGUCGAUCACGUCCCUGCCCUUUGUACACACCGCCCGUCGCUACUACCGAUCGAACGGUCCGGUGAGGUCCUCGGAUCUGGCCGACGACGCCGCCGGGCAGUGUGCGUAGUGUCGGCAACGAUGCUCGUGCGUCUCCGCCUCGGCGUUCGAUGCCUGGAGAAGACGACCGAACCCGAUCGUUUAGAGGAAGUAAAAGUCGUAACAAGGUUUCC